GAAGAAGGCGGGGGGCGUGCUUAACACAUGCAAGUCGAACGGAAAGGCCCUGCUUUUGUGGGGUGCUCGAGUGGCGAACGGGUGAGUAACACGUGAGUAGCCUGCCCUUGACUUUGGGAUAACUUCAUGAAACUGGGGCUAAUACCGGAUAGGAGCUCCUGCUUCAUGGUGGGGGUUGGAAAGUUUCGGCGGUUGGUGAUGGACUCGCGGCUUAUCAGCUUGUUGGUUGGGUAGUGGCUUACCAAGGCUUUGACGGGUAGCCGGCCUGAGAGGGUGACCGGCCACAUUGGGACUGAGAUACGGCCCAGACUACUACGGGAGGCAGCAGUGGGGAAUAUUGCACAAUGGGCGGAAGCCUGAUGCAGCAAAGCCGCGUGCGGGAUGACGGCCUUCGGGUUGUAAACCGCUUUCGCCUGUGACGAAGCGUGAGUGACGGUAAUGGGUAAAGAAGCACCGGCUAACUACGUG
RNAcentral lists this ribosomal RNA (468 nucleotides) under uncultured bacterium. RNAcentral's name for it is "partial 16S ribosomal RNA". It matches the Rfam family "Bacterial small subunit ribosomal RNA", at positions 28 to 507 of the family's 1533-position model. The record is from RNAcentral.